UACGAAGGGGGCUAGCGUUGUUCGGAAUUACUGGGCGUAAAGCGCACGUAGGCGGACUAUUAAGUCAGGGGUGAAAUCCCGGGGCUCAACCCCGGAACUGCCUUUGAUACUGGUAGUCUCGAGUCCGGAAGAGGUGAGUGGAAUUCCGAGUGUAGAGGUGAAAUUCGUAGAUAUUCGGAGGAAGACCAGUGGCGAAGGCGGCUCACUGGUCCGGUACUGACGCUGAGGUGCGAAAGCGUGGGGAGCAAACAGG
RNAcentral lists this ribosomal RNA (253 nucleotides) under uncultured bacterium. RNAcentral's name for it is "partial 16S ribosomal RNA". It matches the Rfam family "Bacterial small subunit ribosomal RNA", at positions 524 to 776 of the family's 1533-position model. The record is from RNAcentral.